RNAcentral lists this ribosomal RNA (460 nucleotides) under uncultured bacterium. RNAcentral describes it as "partial 16S ribosomal RNA". It matches the Rfam family "Bacterial small subunit ribosomal RNA", at positions 338 to 795 of the family's 1533-position model. The record is from RNAcentral.
CCUACGGGAGGCAGCAGUGAGGAAUAUUGGUCAAUGGGCGUAAGCCUGAACCAGCCAAGUCGCGUGAGGGAUGAAGGUUCUAUGGAUUGUAAACCUCUUUUAUAAGGGAAUAAAGUCUGGGACGCGUCCUAUUUUGUAUGUACCUUAUGAAUAAGGAUCGGCUAACUCCGUGCCAGCAGCCGCGGUAAUACGGAGGAUGCGAGCGUUAUCCGGAUUUAUUGGGUUUAAAGGGUGCGUAGGCGGCCUUUUAAGUCAGCGGUGAAAGUUUGGGGCUCAACCCUAGAAUUGCCGUUGAAACUGGGUGGCUUGAGUAUGUUAGAGGCAGGCGGAAUGCGUGGUGUAGCGGUGAAAUGCUUAGAUAUCACGCAGAACCCCGAUUGCGAAGGCAGCCUGCCAGGCCAAGACUGACGCUGAUGCACGAAAGCGUGGGGAUCAAACAGGAUUAGAUACCCCUGUAGUC